GAUAUUGUCCUGAGCUUUAUGUCUCCAUGCCAGUGACCUUGACAGUUGCCUCUAAUGAGAAACAUCUACCCACACUAGAAUUCUCAGUGUGUUUGUGUAUACAUGUUAGGGUGCUGGCUGGGAAGAGUCAGCAAUAGGGGGCAUACUCCACUCACCCAGCUAGAGAAACAUCAGAGAGCCUGUAACAACACAUAAGUAAUUUGAAAUUCUUAUUUCCUCACCUCUCUAAUACUCCAGUAAUAAUUUUUGUUCUGUGGGGUAAACGAUGAAAGACUUUGGAGACCGGGUUUUAUCCAGCUCCUGGAAGGGUGCCAUUGAAUUUGUGCUGAUGUGUUUUGGAGUAAUGUCAGUAUGCAUACUAUUUUCAGUAGCUGACAAAUAGAAAGCUUUGCUUGUAUGAAGUAAUUAAGAGAAAGAUGUUAAUCUAUCGUCUAUUCUAAAGUGAAUGGAAAACCAAGUUUGCUGGGCAGUCAGAUAAGAUUAUACUUUGCUGAUAAUAAAUAAAAGAUUUCAGAACAAGUUGUUCUCAUGCUUUUAAAUGUUAUAAUUAGAGAUACUUUCU
This 562-nucleotide long non-coding RNA is filed under the name Bos taurus (domestic cattle). RNAcentral's name for it is "long non-coding RNA NONBTAT024335". Lineage: Eukaryota; Metazoa; Chordata; Mammalia; Artiodactyla; Bovidae. The record is from RNAcentral.